GAGGAAUUCAUACGCAAAGUCUUAAGGGUACCUGGCGGAUGGCGUGAGAAAUGUGACCAUGUGGAGAUGUUCAAUUUGAACACAUGUACUCCAGUGACCUUUAUGUACGGCAUAUUUCAGGAAUGUAGUAGUUGAGUAAGGGUAUUUUUGGAAUGUAAAGUAGGCCAUUGGGCACUAUAAAAGGGUAACCCUACCCUGUUGUAAAGGGAGAUUACUUUUCAAUAGAAAAGAACAUUGUUUCCACUUAAAU
Molecule: long non-coding RNA, 250 nt
Filed under: Setaria viridis
Lineage: Eukaryota; Viridiplantae; Streptophyta; Magnoliopsida; Poales; Poaceae
Description: long non-coding RNA (SVIR_LNC005388)
Source: RNAcentral